UGAACGCUGGCGGUAUGCUUAACACAUGCAAGUCGAACGGAAACGAUACUAGCUUGCUAGUAGGCGUCGAGUGGCGGACGGGUGAGUAACGCGUAGGAAUCUGCCUGAUAGUGGGGGAUAGCCCGAAGAAAUUCGGAUUAAUACCGCAUAAUCUAUUCGUAGUAAAGUGGGGGACUUUCGAGCCUCACGCUAUCAGAUGAGCCUGCGUAAGAUUAGCUAGUUGGUAGGGUAAAAGCCUACCAAGGCUACGAUCUUUAGCUGGUCUGAGAGGAUGAUCAGCCACAUCGGGACUGAGACACGGCCCGAACUCCUACGGGAGGCAGCAGUGGGGAAUAUUGGACAAUGGGGGCAACCCUGAUCCAGCAAUACCGCGUGUGUGAAGAAGGCCUGAGGGUUGUAAAGCACUUUCAAUUGUGAAGAAAAGUUAACGGUUAAUAACCGUUAGCCUUGACGUUAACUUUAGAAGAAGCACCGGCUAACUCCGUGCCAGCAGCCGCGGUAAUACGGAGGGUGCAAGCGUUAAUCGGAAUUACUGGGCGUAAAGCGUGCGUAGGCGGUUUAUUAAGUCAGAUGUGAAAGCCCCGGGCUUAACCUGGGAACUGCAUUUGAAACUGGUCAACUAGAGUAUGGUAGAGGAAAGUGGAAUUUCUGGUGUAGCGGUGAAAUGCGUAGAUAUCAGAAGGAACAUCAAUGGCGAAGGCAGCUUUCUGGACCAAUACUGACGCUGAGGUACGAAAGCGUGGGUAGCAAACAGGAUUAGAUACCCUGGUAGUCCACGCCGUAAACGAUGAUAACUAGCCGUUGGGGGGAUUUACCCUUUAGUGGCGAAGCUAACGCGUUAAGUUAUCCGCCUGGGGAGUACGGCCGCAAGGUUAAAACUCAAAGGAAUUGACGGGGACCCGCACAAGCGGUGGAGCAUGUGGUUUAAUUCGAUGCAACGCGAAGAACCUUACCUGGUCUUGACAUCCUGCGAACUUUCUAGAAAUAGAUUGGUGCCUUCGGGAACGCAGUGACAGGUGCUGCAUGGCUGUCGUCAGCUCGUGUCGUGAGAUGUUGGGUUAAGUCCCGUAACGAGCGCAACCCCUAUCCUUAUUUGCCAGCACGUCAUGGUGGGAACUAUAAGGAGACUGCCGGUGAUAAACCGGAGGAAGGCGGGGACGACGUCAAGUCAUCAUGGCCCUUACGACCAGGGCUACACACGUGCUACAAUGGGAAGGACAAAGAGCCGCGAAGCCGCGAGGUGUAGCUAAUCUCAGAAACCUUUUCGUAGUCCGGAUUGGAGUCUGCAACUCGACUCCAUGAAGUCGGAAUCGCUAGUAAUCGUAGAUCAGAAUGCUACGGUGAAUACGUUCCCGGGUCUUGCACUCACCGCCCGUCA
This 1378-nucleotide ribosomal RNA is filed under the name uncultured bacterium. RNAcentral's name for it is "16S ribosomal RNA". It matches the Rfam family "Bacterial small subunit ribosomal RNA", at positions 30 to 1399 of the family's 1533-position model. The record is from RNAcentral.